UACGUAGGGGGCAAGCGUUGUCCGGAUUUACUGGGCGUAAAGAGCGCGUAGGCGGACGUUUAAGUGUGGCCUGAAAGCCCCCGGCUCAACCGGGGAUCCGGGUUGCAAACUGGACGUCUUGAGGGGGAUAGGGGAAGGUGGAAUUCCUGGUGUAGCGGUGAAAUGCGUAGAGAUCAGGAGGAACACCGGUGGCGAAGGCGGGUCUCUGGGCCGAUACUGACGCUGAGGAGCGAAAGCGUGGGGAGCGAACAGG
RNAcentral lists this ribosomal RNA (253 nucleotides) under uncultured bacterium. RNAcentral's name for it is "partial 16S ribosomal RNA". It matches the Rfam family "Bacterial small subunit ribosomal RNA", at positions 524 to 776 of the family's 1533-position model. The record is from RNAcentral.